Molecule: ribosomal RNA, 628 nt
Filed under: uncultured bacterium
Lineage: Bacteria
Description: bacterial SSU rRNA
Rfam family: Bacterial small subunit ribosomal RNA
Source: RNAcentral
GCCGACGGCAGCACGGGUGCUUGCACCUGGUGGCGAGUGGCGAACGGGUGAGUAAUGCGUCGGAACGUACCGAGUAAUGGGGGAUAACGCAGCGAAAGUUGUGCUAAUACCGCAUACGCCCUGAGGGGGAAAGUGGGGGACCGCAAGGCCUCACGUUAUUCGAGCGGCCGACGUCUGAUUAGCUAGUUGGUGGGGUAAAGGCCUACCAAGGCGACGAUCAGUAGCGGGUCUGAGAGGAUGAUCCGCCACACUGGGACUGAGACACGGCCCAGACUCCUACGGGAGGCAGCAGUGGGGAAUUUUGGACAAUGGGGGCAACCCUGAUCCAGCCAUUCCGCGUGAGUGAAGAAGGCCUUCGGGUUGUAAAGCUCUUUCAGCUGGAACGAAACGGUACGCGCUAACAUCGUGUGCUAAUGACGGUACCGGCAGAAGAAGCACCGGCUAACUACGUGCCAGCAGCCGCGGUAAUACGUAGGGUGCGAGCGUUAAUCGGAAUUACUGGGCGUAAAGCGUGCGCAGGCGGAUUGUUAAGCAAGACGUGAAAUCCCCGGGCUUAACCUGGGAAUGGCGUUUUGAACUGGCAGUCUAGAGUGCGUCAGAGGGGGGUGGAAUUCCACGUGUAGCAGUG